CAGCACCGCGGGAAUACGUAGGUGGCAAGCGUUGUCCGGAAUUAUUGGGCGUAAAGCGCGCGCAGGUGGUUUAAUAAGUCUGAUGUGAAAGCCCACGGCUCAACCGUGGAGGGUCAUUGGAAACUGUUAAACUUGAGUGCAGGAGAGAAAAGUGGAAUUCCUAGUGUAGCGGUGAAAUGCGUAGAGAUUAGGAGGAACACCAGUGGCGAAGGCGGCUUUUUGGCCUGUAACUGACACUGAGGCGCGAAAGCGUGGGGAGCGAACAGGAUUAGAUACCCCUGUAGUCCCUGUCUCUUAUACA
This 301-nucleotide ribosomal RNA is filed under the name uncultured bacterium. RNAcentral describes it as "partial 16S ribosomal RNA". It matches the Rfam family "Bacterial small subunit ribosomal RNA", at positions 509 to 808 of the family's 1533-position model. The record is from RNAcentral.